This 1122-nucleotide ribosomal RNA is filed under the name Escherichia coli. Its description in RNAcentral is "partial 23S ribosomal RNA". It matches the Rfam family "Bacterial large subunit ribosomal RNA", at positions 165 to 1325 of the family's 2925-position model. The record is from RNAcentral. Lineage: Bacteria; Pseudomonadati; Pseudomonadota; Gammaproteobacteria; Enterobacterales; Enterobacteriaceae.
CAUAGGUUAAUGAGGCGAACCGGGGGAACUGAAACAUCUAAGUACCCCGAGGAAAAGAAAUCAACCGAGAUUCCCCCAGUAGCGGCGAGCGAACGGGGAGCAGCCCAGAGCCUGAAUCAGUGUGUGUGUUAGUGGAAGCGUCUGGAAAGGCGCGCGAUACAGGGUGACAGCCCCGUACACAAAAAUGCACAUACUGUGAGCUCGAUGAGUAGGGCGGGACACGUGGUAUCCUGUCUGAAUAUGGGGGGACCAUCCUCCAAGGCUAAAUACUCCUGACUGACCGAUAGUGAACCAGUACCGUGAGGGAAAGGCGAAAAGAACCCCGGCGAGGGGAGUGAAAAAGAACCUGAAACCGUGUACGUACAAGCAGUGGGAGCACGCUUAGGCGUGUGACUGCGUACCUUUUGUAUAAUGGGUCAGCGACUUAUAUUCUGUAGCAAGGUUAACCGAAUAGGGGAGCCGAAGGGAAACCGAGUCUUAACUGGGCGUUAAGUUGCAGGGUAUAGACCCGAAACCCGGUGAUCUAGCCAUGGGCAGGUUGAAGGUUGGGUAACACUAACUGGAGGACCGAACCGACUAAUGUUGAAAAAUUAGCGGAUGACUUGUGGCUGGGGGUGAAAGGCCAAUCAAACCGGGAGAUAGCUGGUUCUCCCCGAAAGCUAUUUAGGUAGCGCCUCGUGAAUUCAUCUCCGGGGGUAGAGCACUGUUUCGGCAAGGGGGUCAUCCCGACUUACCAACCCGAUGCAAACUGCGAAUACCGGAGAAUGUUAUCACGGGAGACACACGGCGGGUGCUAACGUCCGUCGUGAAGAGGGAAACAACCCAGACCGCCAGCUAAGGUCCCAAAGUCAUGGUUAAGUGGGAAACGAUGUGGGAAGGCCCAGACAGCCAGGAUGUUGGCUUAGAAGCAGCCAUCAUUUAAAGAAAGCGUAAUAGCUCACUGGUCGAGUCGGCCUGCGCGGAAGAUGUAACGGGGCUAAACCAUGCACCGAAGCUGCGGCAGCGACGCUGAUGCGUUGUUGGGUAGGGGAGCGUUCUGUAAGCCUGUGAAGGUGUGCUGUGAGGCAUGCUGGAGGUAUCAGAAGUGCGAAUGCUGACAUAAGUAACGAUAAAGCGGGUGAA